AUACGUAGGGGGCGAGCGUUGUCCGGAAUUAUUGGGCGUAAAGCGCGCGUAGGCGGCUGGUUAAGUCCUGUGUGAAAGACCACGGCUCAACCGUGGGGGUGCACGGGAAACUGGCCGGCUUGAGUGCAGGAGAGGGGAGCGGAAUUCCCGGUGUAGCGGUGGAAUGCGCAGAGAUCGGGAGGAACACCAGUGGCGAAGGCGGCUCCCUGGCCUGUAACUGACGCUGAGGCGCGAAAGCGUGGGGAGCGAACAGGAUUAGAUACCCUGGUAGUCCACGCCGUAAACGAUGAGUGCUAGGUGUUGGGGGCGUCAGGCCCUCUGUGCCGAAGGUAACCCAAUAAGCACUCCGCCUGGGGAGUACGGCCGCAAGGCUGAA
This 376-nucleotide ribosomal RNA is filed under the name uncultured bacterium. Its description in RNAcentral is "bacterial SSU rRNA". It matches the Rfam family "Bacterial small subunit ribosomal RNA", at positions 523 to 898 of the family's 1533-position model. The record is from RNAcentral.